Molecule: ribosomal RNA, 270 nt
Filed under: uncultured bacterium
Lineage: Bacteria
Description: partial 16S ribosomal RNA
Rfam family: Bacterial small subunit ribosomal RNA
Source: RNAcentral
CGUAGAAACAAAAGUGAGGCGAGACGGAGACGUUAAGCAAAGCACAAAAACCUAGUCCCAGUUCGGAUUGUAGUCUGCAACUCGAGUACAUGAAGCUGGAAUCGCUAGUAAUCGCAAAUCAGAAUGUUGCGGUGAAUACGUUCCCGGGCCUUGUACACACCGCCCGUCACACCAUGGGAGUUGGAAGCACCCGAAGUCGAUGACCUAACCGUGAGGGAGGAGUCGCCGAAGGUGAAGCCAGUGACUGGGGUGAAGUCGUAACAAGGUACC